AAACUUGUAUUUGAAUCCCAUAUCGUUGUUCUUAAUGAUUGUUAUUUCUGUCCCAGUUUCUUUUUAAAUAUCAUUUCUGUAGGCCUUCUGGCCAAAAAUGAUUAUGAAAUUUCAAUAAAGAAACAAAUUUAUAAUAUCAUUAAGAAUGGUGUUACUAUUUUUUGUGGAGAUUUGAACAAUGGUGUGUAUAUGUUAUCACAACCUGUUAAUGUAGUCUAUUCAACUGGCAAGCACACUAGAUUAGAUAGUGUGUCAGAUAUCUACUUAUGGCACUGUAGGCUAGGUCAUAUAAACAAGAACAGAAUAAACAGAUUGACUCAAGAGGGAAUCCUC
Molecule: long non-coding RNA, 333 nt
Filed under: Elaeis guineensis (African oil palm)
Lineage: Eukaryota; Viridiplantae; Streptophyta; Magnoliopsida; Arecales; Arecaceae
Description: long non-coding RNA (EGUI_LNC050914)
Source: RNAcentral